Hylaeus volcanicus is the source of this 1451-nucleotide long non-coding RNA. RefSeq lists it as uncharacterized. The record is from RefSeq and is a predicted model, not a curated record. The transcript is spliced from 6 exons. Lineage: Eukaryota; Metazoa; Arthropoda; Insecta; Hymenoptera; Colletidae.
GUUUUUCAAAAAAUCGCAAGCGACGCGAGAAACUUUUUCAAUUGGGUUGAGUAGAGAAAUAGCAUCAAUGUCGUUUUCAAUCUGUGUCGCAUUUUGAAGUAAUGUAUGAAAAUUAUUUGAAUUGGGUAAAUGUGUGUUUAUUGUGGGAAACUUUUUAAACGAAAUUCUAAAAAAAUCACGUACGCUGUUUACAGUCUUAUGACUGUUUUUUGACAUCUCCUGGUUUUCUUUUUCCUGGACUGUGCUUUCCAAAAGGCCUUCCAAAACGUUGUUUUGAGACAUGCAUCACAGUUGAAAAACGAGCGUCAAUGGUCAUCGUUUUAUUGACCUGAAUCGUAACAUCCAUGUCGUAUUGCAUAUUUCGUAAAGUACUCGUUUGUAUAUGACGCAUCCUGAUUUCAUAUUCAUAUUUUGCCUGCUUUGAAGCUUCUCUAUGCCUUUCGAGACUCUUCUCUAACGAAUAGAACUCUUGAAUUCGUUUUAAAAGCCUGGUAACAAGAACUUGAAAACACAGGAAAACUUUCAAUGGUUGAAGAUAGGCUACCUCGUCGCUAAAUUAAUACGAUCAAAGGGAUUUUGUCGACAUUUAUAUCGUAACACUUGAAAUUUCGUGGACAAUAGUUGAAUGGAUUCUUUGGUUUUAAGAAAAGUGUUAUGAAUCUACCAGACAUAAAAAGAGAGGGCAGCGAUGUUAGGAUUUAUUCAAAUACUUUACCUCUGAGUACUGCUUCAAUAUUGUUCUCAAUUCUGUAUCUAAAAGUGUGCAAUGUGCAACAAUCUACACAAAAACAUAAAGAAAAGCCUAGUGGCAUGAGUACUGACUUGUUGUAACGCGCGCCCAUUGUUACGCAAGGUCAUGUGCUUGUUCCGAUCUGUUCAAAUGAUACACAACACACUCAGAGUAGUAUUAUAAGGUCGUUGUACGCAGAAACUUGGAGUAAAAUAAAUGUUUCUAGUCAACAGUGGGAUAGGAGAAGGGAAGACGCCUACCGAUGUAACAUAUUUCGCGAUAAAACGACAACAGUAUCGAGCCAAUUUCUAAAGUACAAAAUGCAAUAGAAAAUACUGGUUGACAACAGAAUCUAAACAUCGCUUACUUAUUUUCCUUUUCCGCUAAAGCUGUGAAAUUUAAACAAAGAUUUUUCAAAGAACGACAAGAAGCUUCUUCAUGUUUAACAAUGUCUUUAAAAAAAUUUUCAAAAUGUUGAUUCAUUUUUAAACCAUUUUCCACACGGUGAACCGCUAGUGACCAUGCAAGCAUCCUAUAAAAAUCAAAUGAAAACCUUGUUUGUAAUAUCUUCCUCUACAUGCACGUCAGCGUUUUUUUUUUUUUGAUUCUCCAAUUUUGGCGGUUCUUGGAAUACGUCAUCGUGGAUUUGCAUUGUUUGUGCUAAGCCGUUUUUUUCUUCCAACAUUGGUACUAAUGUAUCAUUCUUGAGCAUGGGCAAGGU